This 76-nucleotide transfer RNA is filed under the name Promethearchaeati archaeon. RNAcentral describes it as "Asgard group archaeon (marine sediment metagenome) tRNA-Gln". It matches the Rfam family "tRNA". Rfam says of the family: Transfer RNA (tRNA) molecules are approximately 80 nucleotides in length. Their secondary structure includes four short double-helical elements and three loops (D, anti-codon, and T loops). Lineage: Archaea; Promethearchaeati. The record is from RNAcentral.
AGAGCUGUAGUGUAGCGGCCAAGCAUCGGGGACUUUGAAUCCCUGGACCGGAGUUCAAAUCUCCGCAGCUCUACCA